UGUUGUCUAAGCACUCCUAA
RNAcentral lists this small nuclear RNA (20 nucleotides) under Arabidopsis thaliana (thale cress). Its description in RNAcentral is "snRNA_18271". The record is from RNAcentral. Lineage: Eukaryota; Viridiplantae; Streptophyta; Magnoliopsida; Brassicales; Brassicaceae.